GGACAUCGAUUGAUGGUCCGGUGAGCCUCGGGAUUGUGAUUGGUUUCCUUUAUUGGAAGUCAGUUGCGAGAACCUGUCUAAACCUUAUCAUUUAGAGGAAGGUGAAGUCGUAACAAGGUUUCCGUAGGUGAACCUGCGGAAGGAUCA
Molecule: ribosomal RNA, 147 nt
Filed under: Pseudo-nitzschia calliantha
Lineage: Eukaryota; Bacillariophyta; Bacillariophyceae; Bacillariales; Bacillariaceae
Description: partial 18S ribosomal RNA
Rfam family: Eukaryotic small subunit ribosomal RNA
Source: RNAcentral